RNAcentral lists this ribosomal RNA (168 nucleotides) under uncultured bacterium. Its description in RNAcentral is "partial 16S ribosomal RNA". It matches the Rfam family "Bacterial small subunit ribosomal RNA", at positions 184 to 353 of the family's 1533-position model. The record is from RNAcentral.
UUCCGCAUGGUGAACUAUUAAAGAAUUUCGGUCAUCGAUGGGGAUGCGUUCCAUUAGGUUGUUGGCGGGGUAACGGCCCACCAAGCCUUCGAUGGAUAGGGGUUCUGAGAGGAAGGUCCCCCACAUUGGAACUGAGACACGGUCCAAACUCCUACGGGAGGCAGCAUG